AGUAACUGCAGGAGCAGUGCUCUCUUUCCACUGCAGUUGCUGAGAAGUUACGAUGCUGAGCUGGAGCAGCCGCUGGCCACCUUCAUACGAGUGAACAUCUACCCUAAAAUAUAGCCAACUCAGGGGAAUGCACAGUUUAAAAAUAGAGAAAAAGAGCCACAUGGUGACAUCCUUUGAGUUCCUGGAUCCAGCCACACCCAAAGCAAAAAUCCCCAUCCUGCUUCAAGUCUGUGAUUCAAUGAAACACUUGGUUGGAUUAAACCAACUGGGGUAGGAUUUUCUGUCACUUGCAACCACAGAAUCCUGAUGGAUACAAGACACUCUUUCUCAUAGAGCCUCUCUUGAAGCUGCUAUUUGAUUACUGCAUGGUCUUCUAAAUAGUAAAUAUAAAAUAUCACACUUGGAAAGAACCCAACUUUUAGGCCUUUGGUGGGUAGAUUUUUUCCUGAGGAUUCAAGUCAGCAGCCUAGAGACCAUCGUGUGUCAAGGUCUUAACCUCAGACACUCGCUCUUCUUUGUUACUUUAAAGCUGUCUAAUGUAGAAACCCCUGAGAUGCUGCUCCAUAGACAUGAGAAGACAGAGUCCUCGGGCCCUGCGCAAGGUCUGAGGCCCAUCACCAGCUCAGCUUCUGCCCUUUUGCAAAACACUGGUCUUUUUGUCUCUGAUGAUGUGAGUCCAUUGCUCACAUAUCUGGCUGUUUCAUCCAAAAAAAAAUAUUUUACUUUUGGCUUAAAAGCCCAUCUCAACAUAAACAUCGGAGCUCCCGAAUGUUGCUCUAACAGCUUGACAACUCUGUAGGUGUAGAGCUGGCUGCCCGCCAAUCCAAAUUUUUCUGCUUCUUUCUUUUAAUAUAAACAGAGCCUUUGAAGAACUGUGGAUUCAUUGAAUGAACAAAUGAACUUGUUUACAUAAAACAUGCAGGAGGAAAUUUCCACUGUGCUUCAACAUAUAAUUUCAGUCUGUUUUUGGAUGGGCUGGUGCAUUAUGGAGAUUGUUUUUCUAGACCAGGAUGCUGUCCUCCAUAUGGUGGCCUCAUUGUUCACUCCAGUCGUUCCUCUGUUCUCUAGGUUGGCCCCAUUCUCAGCUGGCAGGAAUGAAAGACAUGAUGAGCAGCAACCUCAGGCCGCUAUCCUGCCCUCACAGUGACUGUGAGAUCAGGAGAGGCCUCAGUCCCUGUUGUGCCAGCAGCGAUCCGGGAUCGGCUCUGACUAGACCAACCAGGGUUGCAUCUUCAGCCCCAUCCCCACCCCUACCAGUGACUGAGGCUGGACAAUGGAAGGGCCAGGUCUGGGUCACGUGGCCAACCCUGGAUCCACCCAAAGCACAGGGAUUGAGUUUGUGAGCCAAGAACACCUGGGGCCAGAGAAUGGGGGAAUGGCUGCUGAACAAUCAGAAAGACCCAGCGUCCACCACACAAGCCGACAACCCCAUUGCAAAAAUGUCUAUUUCUAGUACAAAUGCCCCCAAGGGCACCCCUUUCCCUGUCAAUGAAAUGUGAUUUGAAUUCAUUUCUUACACCAAAUACAUGGAGACGGCGCAAGGCUCAUUAAGAAGAAGGAUGAGCAAGUGCACACGCUGGAUUUUAAUGGUUUAAAACUAUGUUGCCUCUGUCUGUUUAAGAAUUACUAUUCCUCAAAGAAUUCAGCUCCAUACGAUAAGUGUUAAUGCUUUAUUUCUUGGGGAAGUCUGCAGUCUGGAGUUGGAAUUGAUUGUGAACAGAAUAAAAUAAUUUGCUUUUUAUCAGCAUCCUCCAUGGAAACUUGUUUGCAGCCAGUCUGGGCCUCGGAGGAAAAUGCAUUUAGCUUUACCUCCCUAAUCCCUCUGUAAGGCGCCUAAAUCACCACCCAUCACUCAGCACCACUCAGCCUGAAAUGACCGUUGCUCAGUAAUCAUAAAAACAGAAUUACGGUCGCUGUCACCUCCUGCUGAUGGCUUCUUUAGGGCCAGAUGAGAGCAGGACUUAAGAGUCAGCGAUCGCAGGGAGCCACAAGCGCCCGCGGCUCUGCCAAGCACGGCUGUGCCCACGGAAGGGCCUUGCGUCCCCUAAAUCAGCGCUGGCCAUUCUUGUGUUCUUGACUCCCAAAGUCAGAAUUAAUGACCCUCUCCUUUACCGUGGAGGUGGUAGCUGACUGCUGAUUUACAGACUACUGAUGAGUUUCAUUUUGCUUUUAAAAAAUAUAUCAAUCACCAAAUCUGAUCGUUGGGAAUUUCCACAUAAAAGCCUGGAUUUUACUCCCUUUUUGGAAAAUAGGGAGAGUUGAAACCGCUGCAUUUGGGUGGUGCUGAGGAACGACAUCCCACCUCCCUCUCCAGUUCACCCGAGCCCUGGCCACUUUCUGGAGGCCCCUUCACUCUUUAUGUCACCUGCCUGGCCCCAGGCCACCUACAUCUGAGACCCUAGCCCACAGUGGUGCAGGUGGGUUGGAGCUCAGACUCUAUAGACGGAAGACUUACUGGCUUCCACUGCCAGCUCUGACCUGUCCUCGCUGGAUGUCUUGAAGCAAUGACUUGGUUUUGCAUGUGCAUCAGUUUCCUUAUCUGUAAAAUGGGUACAGUCAUAGCAUCGGUUGAUAUGCAAAGCAAAUGAGUUAACGAACAUGCAAGGCAACGGGAACCUCUCCCGGCACGCAGAAGAGCUGUGCUCGGAUAAGCUGCUACUGUCAUGCUCCUGCCUUCCUUUGCCCUCAUGGCAUUCUCUGCCCCAUCUUGGAUAUGGAGUGCAUGGAACUGUGGCCCCCAAGAAGAUAUGACCAAGGCCUCCACCUCUGGUGCCUGUGAAUGGGACCUUAUUUAGAAAAUGAGUCUUUGCAGACAUAAUGAAGUGAAGACUCUUGAGGGAGACUAUCCUGGAUUAAUCGGGUAGGUCCUACAACCAUGACAAGUGCUUUUAUGAGACAGAAGAGGGAGACACAGACACAGAGGGGAAGACCUGUGAAAAUGAAGGAUGGGACUCAACUGAGGCCACCACAAGCCGAGAACACCUGGGGCUGCCCAAAGCUGAGAGAGGCUGUGAAGGCAUCUCCCUGAGAGACACUGGAUGAAGCGAGGCCCUGCAGACUCCGCGAUUUCAGACUCCUGUCUUCAGAACUGUGAGAGAAUAAAUUCCUAUUGUUGUAAGCCCCGAAGUUUGCAGUGAUUUGUCACAGCAGCCACAGGACACUA
This 3163-nucleotide long non-coding RNA is filed under the name Homo sapiens (human). RNAcentral's name for it is "HSALNT0401436". Lineage: Eukaryota; Metazoa; Chordata; Mammalia; Primates; Hominidae. The record is from RNAcentral.